Molecule: long non-coding RNA, 1460 nt
Filed under: Olea europaea subsp. europaea
Lineage: Eukaryota; Viridiplantae; Streptophyta; Magnoliopsida; Lamiales; Oleaceae
Source: RNAcentral
GAAAAAUUACCAACCUCUUCCCCUUUGAAUUCUCCGUAGCAGGUACUCAUAUAAUUCUAGUUUUUUCUAUAUUUUACAGAAAUAGAUACUGAAGCACCCAACCUCGAAUUUUUUGGCUUCUGACUCUCCAGAAUCAUCUAUCUCCGUAAGCUUGAUUGAUACUUUUAAUUUACUAUUUAAUUACUUAUUGUUGACCAGUUUCUAUCUCAUGUUAUUUAAUUCCCUUUUUCCUAACAUUUAAUUUAAAAUCAAUGAUAGAAUCGUAUAAUGAUAUAAGCUGCAAUGAACUUAUUCGAUUGAUGAACGAAUGGAAAUAUUUUAUAUUAUUUUUCUCUACGUGUAAAAUGAUUAUCAGUUGCUUGAUUUCAGAGUUGACUGGAAAAUUUAGAAAUUUCAUGACUGCACGAUCUGAAUUUUGUUAACAUAAGGUAACUUAUGAUUUAGUUUGAUUUUGUGAUUUAGAAUCGCGAAUAAUGCUGAACAAGCAAUGGGAGCCCAUCAUGAUUGAGUGUUUUUAUGUUGUUUUUCCCAAUGUCGAAUGAGAAUGUGCCACGUGUUGUUUGGAAAUGAAAUUCUGUCGCUAACUGUGGCUAUAUAGCUUGGUCGUUAGAAUCAUUGCUUCCAGAAAAAAAGUUCCAUCCUUUACCGCUAAAGCUCUUUAAUACAACUGAAACGAAAAGAGAUACAUUAAUUUUGAUUUGUCUGACAGUGAGUGAGCCAUAUUUUUAAUUUAAUUGUUAUUGAGAAUUGUUGAUAAUGUUUUCCUCUUUUCUCUUGUAUAGUUUUUCCUCGUUCAUUAGUGGCAAUUUCGAUUAUUUAAUUAAGAAUGUGAUUUAACUCGUCCUAAUUGUUAGUGUUUCAUAUUGUUUUCACAGGUGCGAGUGUCUUAUGGUGGUUUCUUAAAGAAAAGGUUGGGAUAAAGCCUUUUCAUUCAGAUGGAUAAGUAAUCUUCUUUCGAUGAUGAAAUGAGGCAACACCCUCCCUGUUUCCCGGUAGAACCAUAUUUCACCCAAAUUUUUUCAGAUACGGAAAAGGAGCAGUCUACUUGAAGUCAAUAUAAGAAAGGGCAUUUCAGGUUCGUCGGGGUGCUGGUUUUGGAUGCUACUUCAACUUCUGCAAGCUUGGGGUCAUCACUUAUUUUCGUAAAGUUAUAUUUGCUGAAGAAUUUUAUUUUUGACUCUCUCUGUAAUCAUUAUCUGCAAUUAUUGAGGAUACUUAAAAGGAGAAGGAGGUUUGAGGGAUUUAAGUAGGUUGGUGCUAGUGAUCAUCGGAUCAUGGAUACUGUUUGUUGCUGUUUGAGGGGUGGAUUUGAAGAUUUUGUUCAUUCGAACAGCUCAAUCUGUGCGAACUUUAUUUGCAUUCGUUGCUUCGUUCAGAAUUUCUUACAUUUGGUAUGCUUUAAAUUAUUUACUGUCUAUUUAAGUUUUUUGAUUGAAUUUGAUAAAUUCAGUUUUGAGCUG